Bactrocera oleae (olive fruit fly) is the source of this 509-nucleotide long non-coding RNA. RefSeq lists it as uncharacterized. Lineage: Eukaryota; Metazoa; Arthropoda; Insecta; Diptera; Tephritidae. The record is from RefSeq and is a predicted model, not a curated record.
AAUUUUUUGUUUUUAUUUUCUUAUAUUUCAUUUUCGCGUUUUUAUGCCAUCACGCUCGAACUUUUGCUGCUGCUGUUGUUGUCGCUUUUGCUGUUCGAGCACAAAAUUGUGUUGGUUGCAUUUGGAAAAUGAGUUUUUCGCUGAUGUUGCUGCUGACGUGGCUGCUGUUGCAAGUGUCGUUUGCUGCCCUUGCAUUUGUCAUGGCCGAUGGAACCUGCCGCAAACAGAAUCGAGAAGAGAAAGAAAAGAAAAUUCCAAAAUACGCGCAGAAAUAACAGAAGAACUAAAACACGCUGCCACUUCCUCAGUGGGACUGUGACAAAAUCAAGUGCAAAGUUCUAGAUUAGACCACGAAAACAAAUGUUUAACAAAUAAGUACAUACAUAAUCUUUAAAAUUCCAGACGAAACAUUCAAGGACGAUGCAACUUCUAGAAGUGAGAUAAACUUUUUAUUUGUGCGAAAACUUGCAUUUUAUUUGUGAGAGUAAAUAAAAUUGUAUGGUAAAGAA